This 24-nucleotide non-coding RNA is filed under the name Arabidopsis thaliana (thale cress). Lineage: Eukaryota; Viridiplantae; Streptophyta; Magnoliopsida; Brassicales; Brassicaceae. The record is from RNAcentral.
AUGCAUUUUAUUUUAUAAUACCCA